CACGUAGGCACCAAGCGUUGUCCGGAUUUAUUGGGCGUAAAGAGCUCGUAGGCGGUUCAGUAAGUCGGGUGUGAAAACUCUGGGCUUAACCCAGAGACGCCACCCGGUACUGCUGUGACUUGAGUACGGUAGGGGAGCAGGGAAUUCCUGGUGUAGCGGUGAAAUGCGCAGAUAUCAGGAGGAACACCGGUGGCGAAGGCGCUGCUCUGGGCCGAAACUGACGCUGAGGAGCGAAAGCGUGGGUAGCAAACAGG
RNAcentral lists this ribosomal RNA (254 nucleotides) under uncultured bacterium. RNAcentral describes it as "partial 16S ribosomal RNA". It matches the Rfam family "Bacterial small subunit ribosomal RNA", at positions 524 to 776 of the family's 1533-position model. The record is from RNAcentral.